RNAcentral lists this ribosomal RNA (746 nucleotides) under Aleurodicus dispersus. Its description in RNAcentral is "12S ribosomal RNA". Lineage: Eukaryota; Metazoa; Arthropoda; Insecta; Hemiptera; Aleyrodidae. The record is from RNAcentral.
UUUCUAAAUUCACUUUCCCAGUAAAUUUACUUUGUUUACGACUUAUCUUAUUUUAUUACAAAGUAAACUUAACGGGCGAUUUGUACAUAUUUUAUUUCUUAUUCAAAAUUUUAAAUUUAAAAAUUAUUUACUAUUAAAUCCUUUUUUAUAUUUUUUUUAAAAAAAUACUUAAAUUAUUAAAAAUAAAUGUAAUCCAUUUUUUCUUAAAUAUAAACUAUAUGUUGACUUGAAAUUAAUUUAAUAAAAAUUUUUAAAAUAUAAUUUUUAUAAUUUAUUUUUUACAGCGAUAUAUAAAUUUAAAAUUUAAGUAUUUAAAUUCGUGGAUUAUCAAUUAUAAAACAGAUUCCUCUAAUAAGAUUAAAAUACCGCCAAAUUUUUUAAGUUUGAAGAUUAUAACUUUUACUACUUUAUUAAAUAUUAAAUUAAUAUAAUAGGGUAUCUAAUCCUAGUUUUAAUUUUAAUUUUUAUAUUAAAUUAAUUAAAUUUUUAUUUUAUAAUUAUAAAUUUUACUUAUAAAUUAUAAUUUUAAUAAAUUAUAUUUUAUUUAAUUAAUAUAUUUAUAAGUAAUUUUCAUAUUUUAUCGUUUAACCGGCACCUGCGGGCACAUAAUUAGUUAAUUUUAAAUUAAAAUUAAAAUUAAAUUUCUUUAAUUUGUUAAUAUUAUUUAUUGAAUUAUUUUAUUUUAAAUUAUUAAUUUACAUAUAAAUUUUUUAAUUAUAAAUUUUUAAACUAAAAUAAAAUUUAUU